Molecule: ribosomal RNA, 438 nt
Filed under: uncultured bacterium
Lineage: Bacteria
Description: partial 16S ribosomal RNA
Rfam family: Bacterial small subunit ribosomal RNA
Source: RNAcentral
CUACGGGCGGCACCAGUGAGGAAUAUUGCACAAUGGGGGGAACCCUGAUGCAGCAACGCCGCGUGGAGGAUGACGCAUUUCGGUGUGUAAACUCCUUUUAUAUGUCAAGAAAAUGACGGUAGCAUAUGAAUAAGCACCGGCUAACUCCGUGCCAGCAGCCGCGGUAUACGGAGGGUGCAAGCGUUACUCGGAAUCACUGGGCGUAAAGGACGCGUAGGCGGGUUGGAAAGUCAGGUGUGAAAUCCUACAGCUUAACUGUAGAACUGCACUUGAAACUUCUAAUCUAGAGUAUGGGAGGGGGAGAUGGAAUUAGUGGUGUAGGGAUAAAAUCCGUAGAUAUCACUAGGAAUACCUAAAGCGAAGGCGAUCUCCUGGAACAUUACUGACGCUAAGGCGUGAAAGCGUGGGGAGCAAACAGGAUUAGAUACCCUGGUAGUC